This is a long non-coding RNA of Pteropus alecto (black flying fox), 4130 nucleotides long. RefSeq lists it as uncharacterized. The record is from RefSeq and is a predicted model, not a curated record. The transcript is spliced from 3 exons. Lineage: Eukaryota; Metazoa; Chordata; Mammalia; Chiroptera; Pteropodidae.
GAGACGUGUGCUGCUCUCUACGAAAACAGAAGCCACGAUGCGACCCUACAAAAGGCCUUCGCUUCGGAAGCUUUCGCCGAGACUGGAAGGCAACUGUGGGACCGCGUUUUGGUGGCGUGGGUGAGGACGGGGGUCUGGGGUGGUGGCACUUGUACCUCUCCUUACAGGAGGAAUGGGCAGGAGGGUGGUGGCUGACGCGGCCAGGGCAGCUUGAACACAAAUGACGCAUUCUCCAUGAAAAGGGCUUGUCCUCAGACCCCUGUCUAUGGUCCCCUGGCUCUGCCAGCACCCUGCGGCCAUGUCAAGUAGCAUCCCUAGGGGAAGCUGGGUGCGGGACGCCUGGGCUUCCAUGAUUUUUAUGAUUUUAAAGUCAAAUGUUAUAAUAAAAAGAGAGAGACCCGAAGACCUAUCAACCAGAUGCAAAAAAAAUGGUUUGAGACUGUGCAAGCCCCCCACCCGCCUCCCUCUCACCUCUGGGGACCUCGGAACAUACCCAUCCACAUGGGCCCCAGAUACGUGCUGGGCCUCGGCCAUGCUCAAGCCCACUGUCAAGCCAGCCCUGUGGACAGAGACCUCAGCCCGUCACAGAACAGCAGUGGUGGCGGCUCCCCCGCAUGACGGGAGGGCCCCGCCCAGGUGUCCCCAGCACAUGGGGACCAGAACAAGUCACAUGAGCCAUGGCCUUGAACCUGUGACCCCUGCCCACUUGAAGCCAUAACCCUUUUUCUCUGGUACGUCAAUGAGGUACAAUGUCCCCAAAGGAGGGUCGUAGGGGGCAGUCCCCUGGCCCCUGAGCUGUCCACACUGGGAGGAUGUUUGCAUCCUCCAAAGCCCCAUGCCCUUCACACAGCCAGCCCGGCCCCCCCAGUGAGACAGGUGUGGCUUUGAGGCUAACUUCUGCCCACAGAACCCAUAGAAUGUGGCAGGAGCGACCUGCGUCACCUGCCUGCCUGAGCCAUGAAAAUGUCCUCUUCCCCAUCACUAUCCAUUAAAACAACAGUGCUUCAGUCCGUCCUGGACCUGCACUACGCACCCUACGGACAUUAUCCAUCAAUGCUCCCGACAGCCGUGGUCCCCGGGACCCAUUUUGUCCCCAUUUUGCAGGCAAGGACACUGAGGCACACCGAGGGAAGUUACUUGCCCCAACUCAUACAGCUCAGACGUGGCGGGGUUGGGCCUCAAGGUCAGCAGUGUGACCCUGGGAUGCAGCCUCAGGCCUCCGGGGGACGGAAGGUCUGCACAGUGCACCCCAGCCUCGUACGACGGCAUGGGGCAGAUGGCGGCAAGGCGUGCUUCCGCUGCACCGAGCCCCCAGCCCACGCUUGGGCCUCUGGGGAUGCCCAAUGAACUGGCCUGAAGCGGCCUCCCCUCCCGAUGGACACCCGGGCCUCAUGGACCCCAGUGCUGGCCAGUGGCCGGCAUAUUCACUGGUCCGGCACUGGACACGCUACACUCAUGGGCUUUCCUUGGUCUUGGUGGUGCCCACAGGAGCUGGGCUGCAGCUGGGGGCUGCCGGUGGGGGGGCGCUGUGCAGCACCGCUCCCCCAGAGCCCACCUGUGAGCUCGCCGUGACCCAGCAAGGACCCCAUUAGGCCUUGCGUCCGGCUUUGCACAGGACGUCUCACAGUUCCAAUUCCAGAUCGUGGCGGGGCCGCAGUCACUUCUCCUCUGCGAGCCUGUGUGCAACCGAGCAGUGACAGGAAGGACGACUGAGUGGUGAGGCUUCGAUGUCCCGCACACACUGACUCCCAUGCACACCGUCUGGAGGUGGCGGGUCUCCAUCCCCACACCUGCUACAGCACCUGGCCGGGUUCGGGAACAGACGAGUGAAUGAACGGACGAGUGCGCACACGAAUGCACAGACGCGAUGCUCCAAUCAGCUGUGACGGACAGCUGCCCACCUGAGCGGGCCCGCCCCCUUCGCACCUGCAGCCUCGCCCUGUGUCCUGCUCCCCUCUGCUCCGCCUUCAGCUCGUGUCCCUCGCACGUCCCUGGUCUCACCGGGGGCAUCCCUUCCUCCCAGGGCCUCGCUGCAGGCACGUCUAUCUAGGAAGACUUCCAGAACGCUCCCCACCUCCAGUCUAGGUUGGCGGCCAUUCCGCGACCCCACAGAUCCUGGACAUAGUGUUGAAUGCAGCCCCCAAAGCAUGCCAGGAACUGUGACUGUGACCUCGCUUGGGGAAAGGGCCUUUGCGGAGGUAAUUAAGAGCUCGAGAUGAGAUCAUCUCGGAGUCUGUGAGGGGGCCCGAAAGCAAUGACGCACGUCCUCGGGGGAAGAAGAGAGGUGACGCACAGGAGAAGGCCACACGAAGACGGAGGCGGAGAUCAGGUGAUGCAGCUAUGGGCCGAGGCAUGACGAAGAUGCCAGCGAAGCCCACAGCCGGGAGAGGCAGGGAGCAGAUGGCCCUCGGCCUCAGAAGGAACCAGCCCUGCCGACACCUGAUCUCGGCCUCCGGCCUCCAGGCUGGGAGGCAACAAGUCUCUGCUGUCAGUCACCGGUCGGCGGUGCCCUGUCGCGGCUGCCCCAGGAAGCAAAUACCCCGACUGCCAGCAGCUCUCAAGCUUUUUCCUGUCUGUCACUCUCAAAGUCCACAGUGCCCCCGAGGGCAGGCACGUGGCUAUCUGCUCUGUCUCCGGGCCCCACCAGGAUGGACGAAGAAUAGCUCCGGGGAGGGCUGAACGACGGUCCACGCUGUUCCUGCCCAACGAGACGUCCUCCCGCCCGACUGCCGUGCCCACUUCCAAUGUCCCCUGGGAGCCACCCUGGACUCACAGACCACUCUCCUCCUCUGUUUCCGCAGGAAAGGCCACCUGUACUCAUUCUUGUUAUCGGUUGAAGCACGUCCCCCCAAAAGGUGUGGAAGUCCCAGCCCACGGUACCUGUGACCUUGUUGAAAAAUAGGGAAACUGAAGUGAGGUCGUUAGGUUGGGCCCUAACGCGAUGUGACAAAAAGAGGAGCUUGGACACAGAGCAACGUGCACGGAGGGAGGGCGAAGCGAACACAGUGGAAGGAGACUGGCCACCUACAAGUCCAGGGGCUACUGGAGCCACCGGAAGCCAGGGCAGCGGACCCUCCCUCGCGGCUCUCGGGAAGAAACCACCUGCCGAGACCGUGACCUUGGACUUCCGGCUCCCGGUGAGAAAUCUCUGCGGUUUAACCACCCUGGGUGGUCAUCUGCUAUGGUGGCCCCAGGACAGUGACACCUCUUUUCCAGACGAGGACACCGAGGUUCAGCUUAUUAGAGGUGACGCAGCUGGGAACCGGAAGGGCUGGGGCCCAUUCGGAGAAGGGUCGGGAGGCUCCUGGGGUGGCUCCCUGAAGGUCUCCUACACGCCGCUCCCCGAGAGCCGCCUCAGGAAAUGCUGGGGUCCCGCCGUGGGCGGAGACGGGUGACAGCCCUCCGUCAGUCAGGCGCCUUUCGCAGGCACGAAACCCAAUGUUUAAAACAGACAGCUGAGAACGACGCUUCGAAAGGGCUCCUAUCAAUCUAACCAGUCAGCAGAAAAUGACUAAGAACAUCGCCGAUCCAUGGAAAAUGGCGUUUUCGCAUCAAAUCUGUCUCAGGGAUAAUGUGUAUUUCAAUAGUGUUUCUGGCUGGAAGAGCUGGCAUUUUCCGCCUCUGUCCUCGGCAGUAACAGAAUUUUUCCUCUGGAGACGAGGCCAUCACGUCAAACCGAGGAGCCCGGAACGAAGGAGACACAGCUGAAGGCGGAGGGUGGCCUGUGGUGACACCCGGCUGGCAGGGCCGAGACUGGGCCCCGGUGGGCCCCGGACAAUGUCCUUUGGCUUUAUGGAGUCCAGACAGGCUGGCCACCCCAAAGGCCAGCCUCGGGACAGUCGGGAGAGCAGGGGAACCGGUGGUCAGGUACCAGCUUGGGAGGGAGCCGCUCGGGGCCCAUCUGACCUCUGCGAAGACUAAUUUAUCUCCCCACGAAAGCGAGAGGGAAGGACAAUGCCACCCUGUCCCUGUUUCGAGAAUCGACCCCCUUAACCAUCUAGGGAGCAAGAUGGCGUCUGGGAGCCCGAGACACCUGCCUCCCUAAGGUGUCUCCAUAAGAACAUGAGCCGCCUCCUCCAGAAGAACAUUAACAAUGACAUUUGACGGCCGCGUUGGUAUAAAGGAGAACA